CCAUGAGGAAACACACCCACGUCUCUGAUCACUCUGUCUCGCUGCUUCCAGUUGUGUCUCUAGGAAGGGAUCAAAGGGAACAAGUCCAGCACAACACUAGCGACGUUCCUGAAGAUCAGAUUCAAUAUGCCUCGGUGAAUUUGCCAAGAAGCACCAGGCAUCCACAGCCCCAGAGAGAAGAGACUCCGACGUACGCAACCAUCGUGCUGCAGCAGGACAGGUGUCGUUAAUGCUCCAGUUGCUGAGAUGCAGGACUCAUCAGUGCGCAGCCGCGUCACAGAACCUCCCCAGAUCAGAGGCAACUGUGGGGGACCUUCUCUGGGAGCACAGCAGGACAAUGCCCAGCGCCCAAAGUGCUGUAGGACGUUGGAAUAGGUUUUAGGCAAGUGCUGCCUAUUUGUCUUUUAUGAUAAGUUUCUCAUUAAUAAAAUUUGGAAAA
Non-coding RNA from Pelodiscus sinensis (Chinese soft-shelled turtle), 439 nucleotides. The record is from RefSeq and is a predicted model, not a curated record. Lineage: Eukaryota; Metazoa; Chordata; Testudines; Trionychidae.